UACGGAGGGUGCAAGCGUUAUCCGGAUUCACUGGGUUUAAAGGGUGCGUAGGAGGGCAGGUAAGUCAGUGGUGAAAUCCCCGAGCUUAACUUGGGAACUGCCGUUGAUACUAUCUGUCUUGAAUACCGUGGAGGUGAGCGGAAUAUGUCAUGUAGCGGUGAAAUGCUUAGAUAUGACAUAGAACACCAAUUGCGAAGGCAGCUCGCUACACGAAUAUUGACUCUGAGGCACGAAAAGCGUGGGGAUCAAACAGG
RNAcentral lists this ribosomal RNA (254 nucleotides) under uncultured bacterium. RNAcentral's name for it is "partial 16S ribosomal RNA". It matches the Rfam family "Bacterial small subunit ribosomal RNA", at positions 524 to 776 of the family's 1533-position model. The record is from RNAcentral.